RNAcentral lists this ribosomal RNA (1321 nucleotides) under uncultured bacterium. RNAcentral's name for it is "bacterial SSU rRNA". It matches the Rfam family "Bacterial small subunit ribosomal RNA", at positions 139 to 1439 of the family's 1533-position model. The record is from RNAcentral.
CGGGAUAACAGCUCGAAAGGGCUGCUAAUACCGGGUAAGCUCACGGAGUCUCAUGGCUCCGGGAGAAAAGGUCCUGCAAGGGACUGGGGUGAGAGGGGUCCGCGGUCCAUUAGCUAGUUGGAGGGGUAACGGCCCACCAAGGCGACGAUGGAUAGACGGCCUGAGAGGGCGACCGGCCACACUGGGACUGAGACACGGCCCACACUCCUACGGGAGGCAGCAGUCGGGAAUUUUGGGCUAAUGGCCGAAAGGGCUGACCCGACAACACGGCGUGAGUGAAGAAAGCCUUCGGGUUGCAAAGCUCUGUUACUCGUGAAGAACGGUACGUCGAGGAAAUGCGAUGUACUUGACGGUAGCGGGGGAGGAAGCUCCGGCUAACUACGUGCCAGCAGCCGCGGUAAUACGUAGGGAGCGAGCGUUGUCCGGAUUUAUUGGGCGUAAAGGGCGUGUAGGCGGCUUGUUAAGUCUGGAGUGAAAAUCCGGGGCUCAACCCCGGAACUGCUUCGGAUACUGAUGAGCUUGAGUACUCUAGAGGGCAGUGGAAUUCCCGGUGUAGCAGUGAAAUGCGUAGAGAUCGGGAGGAACACCAGUGGCGAAGGCGACUGCCUGGGGAGAAACUGACGCUGAGGCGCGAAAGCUGGGGGAGCAAACGGGAUUAGAUACCCCGGUAGUCCCAGCCGUAAACGAUGAGUGCUAGGUGUAGCGGGUAUCGACCCCCGCUGUGCCGCAGUUAACGCAAUAAGCACUCCGCCUGGGGAGUACGGCCGCAAGGUUGAAACUCAAAGGAAUUGACGGGGGCCCGCACAAGCAGCGGAGCAUGUGGUUUAAUUCGAAGCAACGCGUAGAACCUUACCAGGGCUUGACAUGUAGCGAACCCGCCAGAGAUGGUGGGGUGCUCUUUCGGGAGAGCGCUAACACAGGUGGUGCAUGGUUGUCGUCAGCUCGUGUCGUGAGAUGUUGGGUUAAGUCCCGCAACGAGCGCAACCCCUAUCGUAUGUUGCCAGCAGGUAAAGCUGGGCACUCAUGCGAGACUGCCGGUGACAAACCGGAGGAAGGUGGGGAUGACGUCAAAUCAUCAUGCCCCUUAUGUCCUGGGCGACACACGUGCUACAAUGGGCGCCACAAAGCGAACCGAGACCGCGAGGUGGAGGAAACCGCAAAAGGCGUUCGUAGUUCAGAUCGCAGGCUGCAACUCGCCUGCGUGAAGCCGGAGUUGCUAGUAAUCGCGGAUCAGCACGCCGCGGUGAAUACGUUCCCGGGCCUUGUACACACCGCCCGUCACACCAUGGGAGCUGGUAACACCCGAAGUCGGUGAGCUAAC